CCUGGGGGUGGUAGUAGUCCUGGGGGUGGUAGUAGUCUUUAGGGUGGUAGUAGUCUUCAGGGUGGUAGUAGUCUUUAGGGUGGUAGUAGUCUAGGAGUGGUAGUAGUCUAGGGUGGUAGUAGUCUUUAGGGUGGUAGUAGUCUAGGGCGGUAGUAGUCCUGGGGGUGUUAGUAUUCUUUAGGGUGGUAGUAGUCUUCAGGGUGGUAGUAGUCUUCAGGGUGGUAGUAGUCUUGGGGGUGGUAGUAGUCUUUAGGGUGGUAGUAGUCUUUAGGGUGGUAGUAGUCUAGGGUGGUAGUAGUCUUCAGGGUGGUAGUAGUCUUUAGGGUGGUAGUAGUCCUGGGGGUGGUAGUAGUCUUCAGGGUGGUAGUAGUCUUCAGGGUGGUAGUAGUCUUCAGGGUGGUAGUAGUCUUCAGGGUGGUAGUAGUCUUCAGGGUGGUAGUAGUCCUGGGGGUGGUAGUAGUCUUUAGGGUGGUAGUAGUCUUCAGGGUGGUAGUAGUCUUUAGGGUGGUAGUAGUCUAGGGUGGUAGUAGUCUUUAGGGUGGUAGUAGUCUUCAGAGUGGUAGUAGUCUAGGGUGGUAGUAGUCUUUAGGGUGGUAGUAGUCUAGGGCGGUAGUAGUCCUGGGGGUGUUAGUAUUCUUUAGGGUGGUAGUAGUCUUCAGGGUGGUAGUAGUCUUCAGGGUGGUAGUAGUCUUCAG
Molecule: long non-coding RNA, 695 nt
Filed under: Salmo salar (Atlantic salmon)
Lineage: Eukaryota; Metazoa; Chordata; Actinopteri; Salmoniformes; Salmonidae
Description: lncRNA (ENSSSAG00000089114.1)
Source: RNAcentral